AAAAACGUUGGCAACGACGUUACUGUCUCUUUUGAAUCCAUCCACCCAUCGGUUGUACACCUGUGUUGGUGUCUAGAAUUAUUUUUUUUUUGGUUGAAUUUAAGACUGGGUCAGUAAAUACAAGGCCACAGUAGUAGCUGUUCAAGCAACACGUUAGUUGAGCGAUAAUUUGUGACUUAUUUAAAACGUGAUAUCUGCUAGCUAAGGUGUGACGUUAGCAUUGUCCUGACGGGCCUCAAGCAGCCACGUGGAGAAGACUGAACGAUGGGCCAAAUGAAAAAACAAACCAUGAAUGUCUUGUUUUUCCUCAGAUGGACUUCAGUCUGGCAGCUCUUUACACAAGGUUAUCAAGUCCCAUAUUGGAUAUAUGGGGUCUCAUGUCCCUGGGAGACAGGUCAAAAUGGGCCCAUUCAAGAUGAUGCAAAGUCAAGGCUGAGCUGAAGAAACUUGUGAACUGCCAUAAGAAAUGUCAAGGCCAGAAAAAUACACCUGACUGAUGACUGAAUGAUGGUUGCCAUGCAGCACUGUAUAUGCUCCCAAUUCAACCAGCUGACUGAAAAUGAUUCAUUUUGUGCAGGUUGAGCUGAAGAUUCCUCUGAAAGAAAGGGACUCAUCUUAUGGGGUCCAGCUACAACUUCAGACAUGGUUCUUGUGUCAUUCUGCCAGUCUAGUCCUGAAGUUUGCUGUCGAGUCAAUUUGACAGAAUUGGAUCAAGUGGUUGCAGUGACUCUGCCUCAGUAUGGCUGCAUGUGGUGGCAGAGGACUCAUGGACACCAGUCUGAAGAUGAAUGUCAACAUGUUUGAUGGAAAAACAGCUUGCUUAAAUGUAUUAGAAUUGUAAUAAAGUGUCAAACUAAACUAAAUGAAA
Long non-coding RNA from Siniperca chuatsi (mandarin fish), 868 nucleotides. RefSeq lists it as uncharacterized. Lineage: Eukaryota; Metazoa; Chordata; Actinopteri; Centrarchiformes; Sinipercidae. The transcript has 9 exons. The record is from RefSeq and is a predicted model, not a curated record.